This 253-nucleotide ribosomal RNA is filed under the name uncultured bacterium. Its description in RNAcentral is "partial 16S ribosomal RNA". It matches the Rfam family "Bacterial small subunit ribosomal RNA", at positions 524 to 776 of the family's 1533-position model. The record is from RNAcentral.
GACAGAGGGUGCAAACGUUGUUCGGAAUUACUGGGCGUAAAGGGCGCGUAGGCGGCCUUCUAAGUCAGACGUGAAAUCCCCAGGCUUAACUUGGGAACUGCGUCUGAUACUGGGAGGCUUGAAUGCGGGAGAGGGAUGUGGAAUUCCAGGUGUAGCGGUGAAAUGCGUAGAUAUCUGGAGGAACACCGGUGGCGAAGGCGGCAUCCUGGACCGACAUUGACGCUGAGGCGCGAAAGCUAGGGGAGCAAACGGG